UAUACCCUCUCCUUUGACCGUUCAUUAAAAUCCUCCCAUCCUCUCUCCAAUCGUUAUCUCUUUCCUUGGCGACGCAGCCGAGCCUGCCCCUUACCGCUCGCACUCCGGCGGCAACGCAGCACAGCGCGGUCGACCUCGCACAGCGUCACCCCUCGUUGAUCAUCGUCCUCCAUGCUCCGAACCCCCAAGCGGCGGCACGUUGAAGCCGCCGUUGAACGUGAUAUGCUGGAAGUGACGUCGUGGAGCAACAUCCUCGACUUCCGCGGCCAUGGGCGGAUUCCCCCCGGCGGCCGUCGUGGUGACCGUCCGCUCCUAGCGUAGUGGCCUACUAGCGGCGUGGGUGGUCGUCUGCUUGGGUCCAUGUCAGAUCUCUGCAUGGUGGGGAUGUCGAUGGAUGGAUCACUGCAGGCAAGUCUGAAUUUUCUUCUGUGCGUUUCCUUCACGUUUUUUACGUUUUCAGUAUGCUCUGUUCUGUAGCAACCUGAUCCAACCUGAUCCAAUUUGAUUCUGGUAGGGACGGUUUCAGUAUGCUCUGCCUUUUGUAGCACCCUGAUCCAAUUUGAUUCUGAACGUAGUUAAGUCCCUACUCUGAUAUGAGCCUGUCGAUGCACAACCUGUUUGAUGUCUUUGCCGUGAACGCACAUUCAUGUGGAGAUUCCAGCAUGAGUCUGAAAGUGGAAAGGCAGGUAACCUUUUUCUUUGCCUCGCAUCCACCCGCGUCAUGGAUGCGCACCCGCAUGACAUGUAGAAUCGGAAGCUGGUCCAUUACGGCAAGGCGGCGGAAGUGUAGCCGGCAGCCGGGCACGGUGGUGUUGUCGAUUGUCGUCUUCCCCACCAGCGGCACGUAGGUAACCCGUUCGAUCAAAUUCCCCCUGAAAAAGCUUUGUCUGUGAAGUAAAAGCACUUGUCUACCAGCUCUGGAUCCUGCGUGUCCAUGAAUUUUGAUGCUAUCACUAUGGAGUUUUGAUUCAUGUGCUGCAAUUCCAAUUGGAAUCGAUUUCCAUGAGUUUUGCAUGCUCAUGAGCUUUGAUUC
Long non-coding RNA from Setaria italica (foxtail millet), 1033 nucleotides. RefSeq lists it as uncharacterized. Lineage: Eukaryota; Viridiplantae; Streptophyta; Magnoliopsida; Poales; Poaceae. The record is from RefSeq and is a predicted model, not a curated record. The transcript has 2 exons.